Non-coding RNA from Mycena rebaudengoi, 94 nucleotides. The record is from the annotation of a GenBank genome assembly. NCBI's taxonomy places the organism in Eukaryota, Fungi, Basidiomycota, Agaricomycetes, Agaricales, Mycenaceae.
GGCUCGGUAGUGGAUGGUCAGCAUCUGCAUUUAAUAAGCAUGUCAUCGAGCGCAAUGCACGCAGAUCCCGCCUGUUCAACUCAGGCCCGAGCCA